UCGCCUACGGGUGGCUGCAGUGGGGAAUAUUGCACAAUGGGCGCAAGCCUGAUGCAGCAACGCCGCGUGAGUGAUGAAGGCCUUCGGGUUGUAAAACUCUGUCCUAUGGGAAGAAACAAAUGACGGUACCAUAGGAGGAAGCCCCGGCUAACUACGUGCCAGCAGCCGCGGUAAUACGUAGGGGGCAAGCGUUAUCCGGAAUCACUGGGCGUAAAGGGUGCGUAGGCGGCUUAUCAAGCCAGGGGUGAAAGGCAUUGGCUCAACCAAUGUAAGCCUUUGGAACUGAUAGGCUUGAGUGCAGGAGAGGUAAGUGGAAUUCCUAGUGUAGAGGUGAAAUUCGUAGAUAUUAGGAGGAACACCAGUGGCGAAGGCGACUUACUGGACUGUAACUGACGCUGAGGCACGAAAGCGUGGGUAGCGAACAGGAUUAGAUACCCCAGUAGUC
This 445-nucleotide ribosomal RNA is filed under the name uncultured Fusibacter sp. RNAcentral describes it as "bacterial SSU rRNA". It matches the Rfam family "Bacterial small subunit ribosomal RNA", at positions 335 to 795 of the family's 1533-position model. The record is from RNAcentral. Lineage: Bacteria; Bacillati; Bacillota; Clostridia; Eubacteriales; Fusibacteraceae.